Molecule: ribosomal RNA, 460 nt
Filed under: uncultured bacterium
Lineage: Bacteria
Description: partial 16S ribosomal RNA
Rfam family: Bacterial small subunit ribosomal RNA
Source: RNAcentral
CCUACGGGAGGCUGCAGUGAGGAAUAUUGGUCAAUGGACGAGAGUCUGAACCAGCCAAGUAGCGUGAAGGAUGACUGCCCUAUGGGUUGUAAACUUCUUUUAUAUGGGAAUAAAAUGUUGCACGUGUGGGAUUUUGUAUGUACCAUAUGAAUAAGGAUCGGCUAACUCCGUGCCAGCAGCCGCGGUAAUACGGAGGAUCCGAGCGUUAUCCGGAUUUAUUGGGUUUAAAGGGAGCGUAGGUGGAUUGUUAAGUCAGUUGUGAAAGUUUGCGGCUCAACCGUAAAAUUGCAGUUGAAACUGGCAGUCUUGAGUACAGUAGAGGUAGGCGGAAUUCGUGGUGUAGCGGUGAAAUGCUUAGAUAUCACGAAGAACUCCGAUUGCGAAGGCAGUUCACUGGACUGCAACUGACAUUGAGGCUCGAAAGUGUGGGUAUCAAACAGGAUUAGAUACCCUUGUAGUC